CCUACGGGAGGCAGCAGUAGGGAAUAUUGGGCAAUGGGCGAGAGCCUGACCCAGCCAUGCCGCGUGCCGGAUGAAGGCCUUCUGGGUUGUAAACGGCUUUUCUCAGGGAAGAAAAAGAGGAUGCGUCCUAAACUGACGGUACCUGAGGAAUAAGCACCGGCUAACUCCGUGCCAGCAGCCGCGGUAAUACGGAGGGUGCAAGCGUUGUCCGGAUUUAUUGGGUUUAAAGGGUGCGUAGGUGGCCCGUUAAGUCCGGGGUGAAAGCCCACAGCUCAACUGUGGAACUGCCCUGGAUACUGGCGGGCUUGAGUCCAGACGAGGUUGGCGGAAUGGAAGAUGUAGCGGUGAAAUGCAUAGAUAUCUUCCAGAACCCCGAUUGCGUAGGCAGCUGACUAGGCUGGUACUGACACUGAGGCACGAAAGCGUGGGGAGCGAACAGGAUUAGAUACCCUGGUAGUCCACGCCGUAAACGAUGGAUACUCGCUGGUGGCAAUAGACAGUCACUGGCUUAGCGAAAGCGGUAAGUAUCCCCACCGUGGGAGGUACGCGUCGCGAGAGAGAACGUACGAAGAAGUUAGUACGGCGUGAGACGUGCCGACGGACGACGACGAGGGAGGAGGG
This 621-nucleotide ribosomal RNA is filed under the name uncultured bacterium. Its description in RNAcentral is "bacterial SSU rRNA". The stretch from base 1 to 535 matches the Rfam family "Bacterial small subunit ribosomal RNA", at positions 338 to 873 of the family's 1533-position model. The record is from RNAcentral.